GGGAAAACGAGGGUGCUGCUGGCUGGCUGAGCUGGGUGUCUCUGAACCUUGGACCCGAGGUUCUCUGAUGACAUUCUUUCCAAGCAUGGCCAUUAAAUAGGGAACACCAUAAUUUUCACUUUCUAAACAUUUCUCUACACUUUUAUUUCCUUUUUUUGUUUUCAUUUAUGUAUUCUCCAUGUGGUCUAAGAAGACGUCAUCAAUCUAAACUAUUAGUUUUGCAACAGAAGUUUAAUUUUCCCAGGAAACUUCAGAUGUGCCAAUUCUAAUGGAUACUCAUCAAUCGAAAGAGAAAAGACUUUGCCCCAAAGUCAGAGUGAUAUAGGAGGCUGCACCAUGACCCUAAAUUAGGAGAUUCCUUGGAUUGCCUUGACCCCAGGAGUAAUUUUCCCUGUGAUGUGAUGACUUGCUGAGUCCUAGGGAGGGAACUGAAGUUUGCAGCUGACCCUGGAGGAACCUUUGCCCCUUCCAAUACUCCGCAGGCUGUUGUGCUAUCAGUGUCACCCUUGCUGGGGACACUGCUAUUGGCCAUGUCUCUGUGGAAUGACUGUGUUCUCAGCAUCCACUUCAAUCUUCCCUCCAUCUGAAUCAGAAUGUUCUAGAGAAACACUUGACUCAAUGCUGCCCAUUGUAUUGUUCCAUCUCCAG
RNAcentral lists this long non-coding RNA (648 nucleotides) under Equus caballus (horse). RNAcentral's name for it is "lncRNA (ENSECAG00000045236.1)". The record is from RNAcentral. Lineage: Eukaryota; Metazoa; Chordata; Mammalia; Perissodactyla; Equidae.